CUCUGCGGUUCUAGAAGUUGUUUAUGAGGUCGAUGGGAUGGCUGGAUGGCGGGGAGCUAGAUGGGAUUCCGCACCAAGGAGGCGCACCUUAAGUGGGGCUAAGCAGCUGCAAGAAGUCGGUCUCCGGGAGUGCUGCGGGGAGCGGGAGUACUCCUGUGCGCGGAUGUCCUUCCACCUCUGCCCUGCCCUUGGGACGGGGGCACGAUCGCGAGCUCGGAAUGUCCCGCGCUUCGCAGAACCGCUCUGCGGUGCUGCGCUUCAGCGUCCCUUGCCCCACUGCGUACCCACCUUGGGCAGCGUGAGGGUAAUUCCGAGGGCCCCAGCGGCUGCGCUUCCGGCCUGGGCGAUGCGCUCUUUUUUUCGGUAGAGCGCAGCUGGCUCUGCCUUCGGGAAGGAGAGGCAGGGAGACGGAUCACCUGUGCCUAUUGGGUUCCCUGAGAAACUGCAGUGAAACUGAGCUGGGGCUGCCCCUGCUCUUCUCUUCCUUCAACGGGCACGUCCGUUGCUUGCGGGGCUGUACGGCUUUUGACUGGAAUUGGAGAGAGGAGGUCCUUCGAGAGGUCUGGCUUGCCACACUCUGCUCCCAACACCUGGCCACAACCGCGCGGGUCUGGGCCAGUUCAGAAUUGGAGAAGUCAGUCUGGCUUUCUAAUGUGAUCUGGGGAUAAGAGUUGACAGCGUGUCCUCAAGUCGUAGGAUCUCAGGGCUGCCCUAUGUGUCCCCAUGGUCCGACUGAAGCUCUAGCUAAAAGAUUACAAGUGUUGGGUGUGGCGAGAUCUGAGAUCCAGGGGCAGGCCAUUAGAGCUCAGGGAUUUUUCCACCUGUUCAUUAAACGCUGCCCUGUAUCCACACCCGCUGGGGAGCCUCUGCUCUGUCUGUCGUUGAGCUACCCUCUCAAAAAUCCCACCCUAUUCCCUACCUACUAGGCAGCGAUCCAGCAGGGAUAUUUCUGAAAGGGACCUGGGAGGCUCUUAAUCCUUUGAAGCUUUGGGAAAGGCCCCGGUCUUCACAGGUGUGAGUUGAAGGGAAGAGAAAGCAAGGGCCACGGAACUCGUCCACCCUGGGACCCUAAGAAGCCGUUCUGUACAUUUUUGCCCCUUAACAACCCCAUACUGUACAUUUUAAAAAUAUGUAUAAUGAACACUCAGGACUUAUGCUAAGUGAAAUAGGCCAAUCACAAAAAGGCAAACACCAUGAUUCCACUCUUUAAAAAGUUUCUAAAUUAAAAAAAAUAAAACCCUAAGAAAUUUAAACAAAAAUACUAGAAAGGGGUGAGGGUGGGAUGGAGAAUUUGUGUUUAAUGGGUAUAAAGUCUUGAGUUUGGCACAAUGAAAAAAGUCCAGACAAUGAACAAUGUGAACACUUUUUUUUUUUUUUUUUUGGUCUUGUGUCUUUUUAGGGCCGCACCUGUGGGAUAUGGAGGUUCCCAGGCUAGGGGUUGAAUCAGAGCUCUAGCUGCCGGCCUACACCACAGCCAUAGCAAUGCUGGAUCCUUAACCCACUGAGUAGGGCCAGGGAUCAAACCCAUAUCCUCAUGGAUACUAAGGUUCGUUAGCCACUGAGCCACAACAGGAACUCCGAACAAUGGGAAACAUUUUAACAAUACUGAACUGUAUUGUGAAAAAUGGUCAAGGUGGUAAAUUUAAUUGAUGCAUUUUUUACCAUAAUACAAAAAUAAAUAUCAAGAAAAAAUAAAACAAUUUACAUAAAAAGACUAUUUUGGUAUAAGUUUGUGUCACCACCAAAAUACAAAAUAAACGUGUUUUUCCCUUGCAUCCUGUAAGAGAAUGGAGAUACUUUCCAGGAGCCUUUGGAAGGUGCUGGAAAGCAGAAUAGGGGUGGGAAAGAAAAACAAACAACAGCAGAGAACUGGGGAACCAGGCACAUUUUCUCAUUUUCCUAGAGUUGCUGAGCCCUGUGCCCACAAACUUUGAAAUCACAUAUUAGGCCUGACCGUCAAGGGAUUAAAACAAAACUUAUAGAUCCUCUAGGGAGCUUUUUUUUUGGGGGGGUGAUGGUAGGUUUCAGGAAAGAGUUGAUUUUGUACUGGAAUUCUCCAGCCAGCCAAUCCUAAUGGACACAUUGACUUGUCUUAAUGCAGAAUUCAAAUUGUUGAGACACAGUUCGCCAUUGAUGAGCAAUAAGCUUACUCACCUCUCUUGGGACUGCAGGGGGAGAAGAAAUAGGUGCUUUGGCAGCUUGCAGGUGCUCAUGAGCUGCUAGAGCAAGAAAAAUACCUCUGAGUUCUUGACUGUGCUUGCAGGUCACAAAGCAACACCUCCAACUCAAAGAGAAUGUUUCAGCAGGGUUGAGCUUAUGAAAUUAGCUUCUUAAAUG
Molecule: long non-coding RNA, 2337 nt
Filed under: Sus scrofa (pig)
Lineage: Eukaryota; Metazoa; Chordata; Mammalia; Artiodactyla; Suidae
Description: lncRNA (ENSSSCG00000056286.1)
Source: RNAcentral